RNAcentral lists this ribosomal RNA (433 nucleotides) under uncultured bacterium. RNAcentral's name for it is "partial 16S ribosomal RNA". It matches the Rfam family "Bacterial small subunit ribosomal RNA", at positions 29 to 507 of the family's 1533-position model. The record is from RNAcentral.
AACGAACGCUGGCGGCAUGCCUAAUACAUGCAAGUCGAACGAGAUCUUCGGAUCUAGUGGCGCACGGGUGCGUAACGCGUGGGAAUCUGCCCUUGGGUUCGGAAUAACUUCUGGAAACGGAAGCUAAUACCGGAUGAUGACGUAAGUCCAAAGAUUUAUCGCCCAAGGAUGAGCCCGCGUAGGAUUAGCUAGUUGGUGGGGUAAAGGCCCACCAAGGCGACGAUCCUUAGCUGGUCUGAGAGGAUGAUCAGCCACACUGGGACUGAGACACGGCCCAGACUCCUACGGGAGGCAGCAGUAGGGAAUAUUGGAAAAUGGGGGAAACCCUGAUCCAGCAAGGACGCGUGAGUGAUGAAGGCCUUAGGGUUGUAAAGCUCUUUUACCCGGGAUGAUAAUGACAGUACCGGGAGAAUAAGCUCCGGCUAACUCCGUG